Molecule: non-coding RNA, 131 nt
Organism: Triticum aestivum (bread wheat)
Lineage: Eukaryota; Viridiplantae; Streptophyta; Magnoliopsida; Poales; Poaceae
Source: Rfam
UUUCUACUCCCUCCGUCCGAAAAUACUUGUCAUAAAAAUGGAUAAAAAGAGAUGUAUCUAAAACUAAAAUACGUCUAGAUGUCCUUUUAUACAUUUUGAUGACAAGUAUUUCCGGACGGAGGGAGUAUUUG